Long non-coding RNA from Peromyscus maniculatus bairdii (prairie deer mouse), 606 nucleotides. RefSeq lists it as uncharacterized. NCBI's taxonomy places the organism in Eukaryota, Metazoa, Chordata, Mammalia, Rodentia, Cricetidae. The record is from RefSeq and is a predicted model, not a curated record.
UCCUCGCUCUUGCUCUGCCACACGCGUCCACUGCUUCGACCACAGCCGAUCCGUUGAGUUUCCCUUAGGAUCACCGGGCUUUCACUGUGUCCUUUUUCACCCCAAAAGGCGCUCAAAGAUCGCUUGAUGAGAUGUAUGAGCUCUAACUCCGUAACUCGGGUGGCUGUAUCUCAUUCUAGAGCUUGCCUUGAUGUUUGCAGAGACCUCACACAAAGAAGAAUGUCCAGUAUACAAAUAAUGCUGUCACUUGGGGAGCCGGAGAGAUGAUGGUUCUGCAGUUAACAGCGCUUGUGCACAAGCUCAAGGACAAGAGUUCACAUCCCAACGCCCAGGCAACCAGCCCGGCAACCUGCCCAUGCCUGUAACCCCAGCUCUGAUUCGGGCGAAGCAGGAAAACAGUUAGGGCUUGCUGCCUUCCAGCGGGCUGGGGGUGGGGGGAUGCAAACUCCAGGUUAAGGAAGAGACCUGCAUCAAAAGGAAAGGGCAGAAAUGUAAGAGGACACCAGAUGCCCUCUUCUGGCCUGAGAGUGUGCACACAGCUUCCACACACACAUGCCCAUACACAGACAUAUAUGAACACAUACAAAUAAAUAUUUUUUAUUGUAA